RNAcentral lists this ribosomal RNA (627 nucleotides) under uncultured organism. RNAcentral describes it as "bacterial SSU rRNA". It matches the Rfam family "Bacterial small subunit ribosomal RNA", at positions 690 to 1330 of the family's 1533-position model. The record is from RNAcentral.
GUAGAUAUGCAGAGGUACACCAAAAGCGAAGGCAGCUUACUGGACCAGUUUCUGACGCUCAAGAACGUAAGCGUGGGUAGCGAACGGGAUUAGAUACCCCGGUAGUUCACGCCCUUAACGAUGAACACUAGGUAUUGGAGGUCUCGACCCCUUCAGUGCCGACGCAAAUGCAAUAAGUGUUCCGCCUGGGUAGUACGAGCGCAAGCUUUAAACUCAAAGGAAUAGACGGGGACCCACACAAGCGGUGGAGCAUCUGGUUUAAUUCGACAAUAAGCGAGGAACCUUACCAAGGCUUGACAUCCCGAGAAGAUCGCCGAAAGGUGAUUGUGCCGUUAGGAACUCGGUGACAGGUGCUGCAUGGUUGUCGUCAGCUCGUGCCUUGAGGUGUUCGGUUAAGUCCGUGAACGAGCGCAACCCUUGUCUCAAGUUGCAUAUUUCUUGAGAGACUGCCGGUUUCAAAUCGGAGGAAGGUAAGGAUGACGUCAAAUCAGCAUGGCCCUUAUGUCUUGGGCGACACAGGUGCUACAAUGGCCGGUACAAUGGGCAGCGAAGGAGCAAUCUGGAGCAAAUCAUCAUAACCGGUCCUAGUUCGUAUUGAUGGCUGCAACUCGCCUUCAUGAAGUAGGA